This is a non-coding RNA of Coturnix japonica (Japanese quail), 6388 nucleotides long. Lineage: Eukaryota; Metazoa; Chordata; Aves; Galliformes; Phasianidae. The record is from RefSeq and is a predicted model, not a curated record.
GUGAAUUAUUUGCUGUAACAUUCAGUCAUGAGACCAAUUGAAACAUCAGCUCAUCAAUUUUUUAUUAUUGCCUCUGAUUUGGGAGCCUCAGCAUGUGCAAUUUGUACAAGCCCAACCCAUAUGCUUCAUCUUCACUCGGAGGGCAGCUGAAAAUGAUGGGAUCCUUGAAGGUGGCCGAGGUCAUCACAGCAGACUGCAAACUGAUUGAAGCCUCUGAGGAGUUGCUCAGGACAUGGAUGCCAUUUUCUAAAGUUUUUCUAUGUACAUUUGCAAGCAGAGUGGUAAAUCUUGCCUUCGUUAUGAAGAAAAGAAUGGGGAUGGGAGUGAAAUAGAGGAUGAGAAGAAAGUGAAACUCAGCCAAGUCCCAUUGGGAUUUAAUGGGCAGCUCAUAAGACUUCAUGUGCUAAAGGACUGAUCGGCAAAAGCUAUAGCAGUCUUCCUCAGCCAGCUCUGACAAAAGCAUCCUUAGUCUGCAUUUGAGCUAAGUUUGGUUCUCUGUUUUUAUGUGGGAGAACAGAGUGUGCUAUAUUACAGGAGCUAAACCCUUGAACAUUAAGUUGUCUGAGAUGUAUGCUGCUUUUUCACUUGUGAUUUUAAGAGAACAAUGGAAGUGCUGAUUUUCACCUUUCUGUAAUCUCAGUUUUACAUUGAAGGAGAACCUCAUCUUCAGGAAUAGAGCACGGAAUACAAAAGAUUGUUCUUAAUGUAAAAAACAGCUGGGGAAAUUUUCUAGGAGAUCUAAUACAGUUACUCAAAGUGCAAUGCUGAAUAGCAGAGUGUAUCUCCUUUUCUUUAAUUCUGCUCAGUACUGUACAUUUUUUACUUUCAUUCCUUGUUUCCACAAAUUCAUCUGGGAUGCUCGUUAAUCUGGUAUUCCUAUUAUCAGCAUACUUUGAAAGAGACCAGAUUUCCACCAGAAAUCUUGACAUAUAUGUAAAUCUUCUUCCAGUUAGGAAAAGAAAAGAUAAUACACCACACGUUGGUGUCUAUAGGUCAACCACAGGCUAUAUAAAAUAAGGUUCCAUGUAGUUAAAAUAAAUGAAAAAGAAAAAUCAUUAAUCCGUUUAAAAAUAAUAACAAUUAAAAAGCAUUUGUUAAUGAACAGUCCCUUCAAAUCAGUUCUGUGACUUAAUACUUUCUCUAAAUGUAUAGUGCUAAGUAACAUAGUAUAUCCCUGUGCUGAGGAGUAGCUGCAGGCUACUUCAAAGGUACUUUGUUUUUAUCACUGAAAUGUCCACCUCUUCUUGCUAAAUAGUUCCCUCUGGGAGGAGGAUUGUGGAAAGCACUUUGUACUGGAUCUUCUGCUGUUACAGUACUUUGCAGUUUUCUUCAGCGUGUGUGGCUCUGGGGAGUUACUGCACAUCCUUUGUUUACCAUGUUCCCCUGGGGUCUUUGAGGCCUCUUCCAAAUCAAUAGUACUCCUUCUUGACUGCAGCACCUAGCACCAUUAAAGAGGGUGCACAUAUGUUUGCUUCUGGGUGUGAGGUACUGCCCAAAUUUUGCAAAAAUAGUCCCUUGUGUGCAGACACUGGAAUAGCUCUAGUUAACUGCUUGAGGUGGAGCCCCCAAAGAUAAAUUGUAAUGAACAUAUUUGAGUGAAUUUCUAAAAGCUUGGUUAUGUAACUAGAAAGCAGCUACCCGUGUUGAGCCCUCAGAUGGUACCUCACUGGAGUUUGGUAAAAUAUCUAUAUCUCAGACAGAAAUUCUGUGAGAUUUUCUGUGCUGAACUGACAGCUGUUUUGAUAAAGUCAAGAAUUUUUGCUCUAAGAAGAAAAACAUGUAGUUAGCAACUGUGAUGUGGGUAAUCACCUUGUUUUUGUAAAUUACAGGGUCAUUCCUGAGCCACUGAAGAGAGACAGCCAUGAAAAGAGUCCAAUGCAAAGAAGACGAAAACUCCAUCAGAAUCUGAAGUUAUCCAAGAGAAGUUUUUAUAGCCCUCAUGAAAAAGGUUCUUGAGAAGAUGACCAUCUUCUGGAAGGCCACCGGGAAAGGCUGAGAGCGCUUGAUCUGGUAACAAUAAGAAAGCUGAAAGCAGGAAACGGUGCUCUGUAUUCAAAGAACAUAGAAAUCUCUUGUACUUCUUAGCAGUUUGAUAUUACAAGGCUUGCAGAAUACUUGCUUUAUGCAUGUAGUCAUUGGAAGAAAGCCUAGUGGGAUAAGAAGUUGCACUGUGUGCUUUAUUGCUUCCUAUGUAUGCCCAGUUCCCAGCACCUCUUGCCAGCUGGUUGGAUGAACGCCUCAAGGACAUGUACGUUGAAGUCACUGCUGCAGGAAGGAUCUUCUGCUGCUUUCCUGCCACCACUGUACUUGGAGGAAUUUUGAAAUACUCACACACAACCAGAUUCUGAGGAAAAAUAAGUCAUCUGGCAGGAUAAAAAAAAAAACUAAUGCAUUCUCUGAUACGACUCCUUCACUGUGCAUAAAUAAGGCCCUUAAAUGAAGUUUACAAUACGGUGGUGAAUGAAGAUAAAAAAGCAGAUGCUGACAUUAAGAGCAAAGGGUGUUAUGCCUUUGUCUACUUUCCUCCCACACAUUCCCCUCCUCCCACUCCAGUUUUCAAGGGGAACGUACAAGAAGAAAAGAAAACUGAAGAUUGUGCACCAGUUAAAAGAUACCUGUCAAUUUUUUACCAGAAGUAGCUAAGAUGUCACAACCAACACCAGUCAUGCAAGGUUGCUGGUGCAUCUUGAUGCCCACAUGCAUGCAGCUGUCUACACCAACCAGCAGUGUGGCUGAGGAGUGGACCAGGUCUGAACUGUGCCAUCUGUGGAUCACCAGAAGGGACUACUACUUUUAUCUUGCGAGACAGAGCCAAAAGAGAAUUUGUUUAAAGUGGUAUCGAGGUGGACUUAAACUGGCAUGAGACUUACAAGGUAUCCUAAAUUCGGGAAUGAUACUUAUUCCUGACGGUGAAACAUCUUUUAUGUAAAGGCACUUACUUUUUAAUGGAAAGAAAAACAGUCCAAUGUUACUAAAAUGCUGCCAAAUGUUGGACUUUUCCAGUUGCUAACAUGCUUCAGUAGCUGUGUGCUGCUCGCCAGGAAUGAAACCAUACCUGUGAUUUAGAGGAGAUAAAGUGAGUGAAUGCAUGAAGUAAAACAUUAGGAAUUUUAGCAAAACCAGAAUAAUCGAAUAAGUUUUCCUUCUAUAUUGGAAUGUAUGGUGCACUGCGUAAUAGAAUGUAGGUGUUGCAGAUAGUCGGCUAAUUGUGAAAUAUACUAACCUGUAGCAAAAGAGACCAAGUUGAAAAGACUACAGUGGAAUAGCGAUGGGAACAUUCAUUAUGAAUACAUGAAUUACAAGAAUGCAGCCUGCCCAAUGAUUUAAAACAGAAGAAAAAGUUGUUGAAGAAGUGUGCUUAAGGUUCUCAGAGAUCUGCUGGUGCCUUAUGACAAAUUGAAGAACUAUUUCACUGAUGUCCAUGUCGUGCUUAAAACUCAAAUACUGCAAGAAGUAAAAUAAGAUCUGUGAAUCCACAUGAUCACAUGGCCUUCUCUGCAGUCCAGUCCAUGAACCACUGAACAAAUAUACAUCAAUCAAGACAUGCAUUUAGUGCUUCAAAAGGCUGUGAAAAGAACAUUUAUUUCCCUUCUGGAUACUAAAGCAUGAAAAUAAGUCAAAGAGCAUUUUAAUCUCACCAGCCAACAGCUUUCUGUGUUCAAGUAAUAUCUAUGUUGAAUUGGAUAUAGAAAAACUUGGCAGCAUCUUUCUGUUUGUACAGAGUGUUAUGGAGCAGAAAAAAACAUCAGUUCUACCAUGUGGAGCUUCCUAAACACGUGGUGAUACUAAGGAUGGGUCCUGAUUUCUGUGAUGCCAUCUGCUGCACCAAUGCUAAAGCCCCAUGUAAGUAUGGAACAAAAGAAUAAUGGAUGCAGUUUCGAAUUAGGGCUGUAAGGGGAUUUGCUUUGAAUAUUUAAGAUGAAGUCAAGUAUUUGUACAGGAAGCUGGCCAUUUACCUUCCUAUGUUUAUCUCUCAUUACUGCCUAGUUGCAUUCAACAGACAUUGAGUUGGCAAACUGCAGUUUUUCAGAAAUUUUAAGGGGACUUACUUUGGCACUAAAAUACCAUAUUGCUUCAUUUUGCAUGCUUGAGUUGUACAAUUCCUGGCAGUAAAAAUUGCAGUUUGGAGUUGUUGCAUUCAUUCCACUUAAGACACAGAAAUCAUAAGUGGCUAUGUCUCUCCUGGCAGACUAAAAGUGAAGUGCCUGGUUCCCCCUUUCUCAUAUACCAACAGGUCUCCACUGACCUUACAUAAUUACAGAAUAACCUUAUAGUUAAUAGAAUUAUCCUGAUGUGGUGCAAAUGCAGAUUGAAUCUCAAAUGUUUUUGCAAGUUUAACUGACAUUCAUCAGACUUGGGUUUAAUGAAGUACAGUAAUUAUGUAUAUGUUUGGCAACAUUUGUCUCCUGGUUGAUAUUUUUAUGUUCAGAUGUUUUAUUACUUACAGAUGCUUUGUUUCUGCUUAUUUUGCAGAUUUCCAUUUUUUAAGCAAUUUCAUGUAAUUUUGCAAAUAUCUAGUAAACAUUAGAAUACUGGGACUUUUCACAUGAUACAAAAAUAAAUUGGCUCUUUCUAGUUAAAAUCUUACUUCACUGAAAAGUCUAUUUUUUUUUGUUGUUUUUAAUUAGCAUAGCAUUCUUUUUUUAAAUGCAAUUAUGUAUUUUCUUGUAGAUACAUAACACAGAAAAAGUACAGCUAAGUUCUUUGCUUACAUUACAGUUACAAAAUUGUUCCUCAUACCAGAGGGUAAAUAUUUUAAUUUUGUGUUCAGCAAAAUGAAAUAAUAAUCUGUAAAUCUUACCCAAAUAUUUGGGUUUGACCAUUGUAAUGCCCCGCAAAGUUUUAUUAGUGACAGUGUGUAAAUGAAGGCUGCUUUAAAAAGAAACACCACUGUGUCAUCAAGGUUGUUUUGGUGGUGUGCUCAUUUAUGACAUAUUCUGCAUAUUGGGUGAUUAAACUAGCACUAGAAACAUAUCCUUCUCUAUCGAGCCAUUCAGGAUGACUGCAUUUGGGAUUCAUUCCCAACUCCACCAUGUUUUUUCACUUCAACAUUAAAAUAUCAGAUAGAAAGUACAUAAUUCAUAUCUAUCUUGGGGUUUGAUUCACCCGCCACUGACAUCAAUUUUAUGCUAACGUAACUCCAUUGAAAAUGAUUAUAUUACUCUGAUGCUAUACUGGUUUAAUAGAGUAGCAAAUUGGGCUGAAGGGAUUUUUUUCAGUUACUUCUAAUUUUCUGAUUACAGCAGUUAUUGAAACUCAUAAAAUUCAUGCAGUAUUGUUGCUCCACUGUGGGUUGUCUACAUCGGAAACCUCACUUCAUUUUGGGGCUUAAAGAAAUUCCCAGCUGGCUUUAGCAUACUUAAAGUACAUUCAGUCAAAUUCCUCAUCAAGAUCUUUAUUUUUUAAUUUGCAUAUGAUUUUAGCCACGUUCCAGAUAUUGCAAACACAGUGCUUAAAUUCCAUAUAUUCCAGAUUCAUGGGCAGGUGGGAAACUAUUUCUAAAUUUGCAUAUCUCUAGCUUGUCCUUCCUCUUUCAGCAGCCAACAAAAUAGGAGACCACCUUUUUUAUUGGUUCAGGUUUGAUCCUUUGGGUAGAAGAAUUUGUGUAGUUUGGAUGCACUGACAUAAUGUAAGGGCUUCCUCAUAGAUGUGUCUGAAGGAUGAGAAGUGAAUUAUUUAUUAAUGAAAGCUGAGUAUCCAUGUCACCACAUGAUUCCACAAGCCAGACCUUAGCACCAUCAACAGAAUACUGAGGGUCUCUGGGUUGAAUCAGAAAAGUUGGCAGCUCUCUGGCACAUUCAUCUGGAUUGUUUAUGUUUUCUCUUCUGGGAGCUUUCUUUGAAAACAUGGCAUUACUGCUCUGUGGAAGGAAUAGUUACUAAUGGACAAUUGUUUUGUGCUUUUGUUUUUGUUUUUUCAAAAUAAAACAGUUUUCAACAAUGUAUAGUCCAUUUUACUUCACACUGCAUCACAGACGCAGUAGGACUAAGUUUUCCAACACAACAUCGAAACAGCCAGUACAGCAAUGGAAGUUCCACUUCAUUUUUCUAUUACAGAGCAGAAGUGGAAAAAUGAUGAGAUAGUGAUUAAAUGACCUCUUAUGUCUCAAAGAAGUUUCAGUCAGGUCUGGUUUGAUACAUUGUGGUUUGUAGUUCUGAGUGUGCUGUUGGACAAAAGUGAGGAGACUGAGCCGUGUCUGCUUGUUGCAAUUUGAGGAAUGCUAAUAGCUUGAAUUCCUAUAAAUAAGUGUAGCAAGAACAGAAAUUCUUCUUCAAUCUCUGCCUGGAGGGUUGCAGAAGCUGUUCUCUUCAGCACACUUUGGAAAGUCAGUCCAAAGUAAGUCAAAUUGCAACAUUGUUCUGUAUAAUAAAAAUGAGUUUCCAUUUGA